GACGAACGCUGGCGGCGUGCCUAAUACAUGCAAGUCGAGCGGACCGAAGGGAGCUUGCUCCUUUAGGUUAGCGGCGGACGGGUGAGUAACACGUGGGCAACCUGCCCUGCAGACUGGGAUAACUUCGGGAAACCGGAGCUAAUACCGGAUAACACCGAAAACCGCAUGGUUUUCGGUUGAAAGGCGGCUUUUAGCUGUCACUGCAGGAUGGGCCCGCGGCGCAUUAGCUAGUUGGUGAGGUAACGGCUCACCAAGGCGUCGAUGCGUAGCCGACCUGAGAGGGUGACCGGCCACGCUGGGACUGAGGCACGGCCCAGACUCCUACGGGAGGCAGCAGUAGGGAAUCUUCCGCAAUGGACGAAAGUCUGACGGAGCAACGCCGCGUGAGCGAAGAAGGUCUUCGGAUCGUAAAGCUCUGUUGUCAGGGAAGAACAAGUACCGUUCGAAUAGGGCGGUACCUUGACGGUACCUGACGAGGAAGCCACGGCUAACUACGUGCCAGCCGCCGCCGUAA
RNAcentral lists this ribosomal RNA (514 nucleotides) under uncultured bacterium. RNAcentral describes it as "partial 16S ribosomal RNA". It matches the Rfam family "Bacterial small subunit ribosomal RNA", at positions 28 to 523 of the family's 1533-position model. The record is from RNAcentral.